This is a long non-coding RNA of Fukomys damarensis (Damara mole-rat), 1880 nucleotides long. The record is from Ensembl. NCBI's taxonomy places the organism in Eukaryota, Metazoa, Chordata, Mammalia, Rodentia, Bathyergidae.
CUUUCAGAUUGGUUUUCCAUAUGAAUAAGAGUACAGAUGGACAAGUAAUGUGUAAAAACCUUUUCUGAGUGAAUACCCUAAGUCCACACUCACUUGUUCUGUGACCUUAGGCAAGUAGCAUAAUUUUGCUAAUUUUCAAUUUCAUUUGUAUUUUUUAAUGGAGAAAAUAAGAAUAGUUUUCUCAACAUACUGUUAUAAAAUUAAAUGAGAUUAUACAGGCAAAUCAUUUGGUCUAGGGUGUGCUCUUCAGCCCUUUUCUUUUCAUUAUCACUCCCACCAAUGUCCUGUUUGAGAGUUUUUUCCCAACUAACCCUACUUUCCAAUGAUAAUUUAAUACCAGAGAUAUACUGUGUGUGUCUUUAGGCACUGUAUGUUUGUUUAUAUCUGCUUUGGUCAGAUUUUUAUGCAUAAAAUACAGUAAGAUGUUCUUUUUACCACCUAAGAAGCCAUGUUCACCCCCUUAAGGGGUGAUGUCUUCCCACUGAGAAGCUGUGGCCAAGAGUCUGGCACUUGGCACUUGUGACAUUUUAGGAAAUAGAAUAAUGAUAAGAAGAAAACUAAAAUAAAUAUGAUUCUGUGUCCCUAGACUAAAGAAAAGUGGGGCCGUUUUGGUACAAAGAUGACAGAGGAUACUGACACCCAGGAAGCCAAAGCCUGAAUCCAAUAGAGGCUGGGAUGGGGUGGGCAGGAACCUCAAGCACCUUCUAAGGGAUGAGGAAAGGCAACAGCCAAAGCCAUGCAGUAGUGGGAAAAGGGCAACUGACACUCUUAACCAGGCAGCGAAGGCUAUGACUACGUGCACAGGUAGAGAAGAGACAAUACCACAGCUCCGGGAGAUGCUCUGGAUGCAGUUCUCCUUGCCCAGCUCUCCUCUCCUCACUUCUGUUCCACUCAAGUCUCACCUUUCUAUCCUGUCCACCAACAUCCUAGUCCCUUUAGGCAGUCUGCAGCUGAAAGGGUCUGGAUUCACAAAGGACCUUCUGCAGAGCAAUCGCAACAAUUCCAAAGUAUCAAGUGUGGCUCCAAUAGGAAUGCUUUGCUCCCAAGAGUCAAUUAAUAACAGAAAGACAGCACCUGAUCCAAGUCCGUCCAGACUGCUGUCUCUGCUGUCACCAUCCUGCAGACCGAUGGAGGCCAGGAAUAAGUGGGCUUUCUCAUCCUUCUCUGUCUCCCUCAUUAUAAGAGGGAGAUGUGGUCUGGAGUAAAUGGGAACUACUUCUACAAGGCACAUUACACCAGGUACUGAAAGACAAACAAGGAACAUGCAAAAGAAAUGGCACUGUGAAGGCAGAAGAAAAGCCAGCAAAGGCACCCUCUUCACACAAGCAUGCAUGCAGGGUGAGGGUGGCCAGGGUAAGAGCCUCCUGUGACAGCAGCUGCAGGGCGAUCAGAGAAGCACUUCACCACAGCCCGCUCAGAGAUGGAACCAUGAGUUAACUGAUCUGAGCAUCUCAGGAAGUGAUCUGUGGAAAUCAAUUUUUGAAUCUGUACAAAGAAAGUCUGUGUUUUCAAAGUAUUUAUCCCAUAUACCCUUCUUUUAGUAAUUCUUUUUGGUACAACAAAACCAGGAAAAGAUAAAAUCAAGCUAUUCAAGGCAUUUAAAUGUAGAACUGAUGCUUUCCCUGUACUUUGGAGAACAUUGUACUUUAGGUUUUUAUCAAGACUUUGUACCUCUUAUGUAGAAAAGUUUUCAGCAAUCCUCAAACACCACUAAGAAAACUUGGGAGCCAUAACAAGGAUUCCGUUUCUCCUUUAUUAAUUCCCCCAGAUUGGCAGAGCUCUGGGCUACAGGGAGGAGAUCAUUUCAGUAUCUGAAGAGUUUCCCCUCGUACCCACUUCCACGAAGUUCUUAGUUCUUUCCCUUACCAUCAGCACCAGCC